AUUUAUCUUAGAAAGAAAUGGUUUUUGCUGCCUCUAAUGCUUUAACAGAAAAUAUUUUGUAUGAGUGGAAGCCUAUAUGUAGGCACAACAAAGUUCCACGAUCUUGGAAAAGCAUGGACGAUAUAAUGAGUAGGUUCAUGAGAGGGUUCAAUUCUGAAAUUCGAACCAUGCACAUUCCUAAAACUUAUAGCCACAUUUCUAACUUGUUUUGUCUUGCCAAAAAUGCUGAAAAUCAGAUUUUAUAUCCGUGGAUACUUGCAAGAAUAAUAUGCCAUGUCAUGAUAAAUAUUUUUCCACUUUACAUGCUGAAAAAGACCAAGAAAUAGUGGAACCCGCUGCUGAUUUGCUUGCUGAACUUUGUGACAAAGAUGAGUUCUGUGACACGUCCAUUUCAUCACCACAAUUAGAGGUAGAGCACUCUAUUGUGCCUCUUUUGUUACCUAACAUUUUUCAGGUAGAUGAGAACAAUUCAAUAGAGUGCAUUGAAGAAAUUGAGCAAGAACACCCACCGCUGGAGUUGGAAAAAAAUGAUCGUGCUGCACCUACAACAUUGGAAGAGAAUAAAGAAGGUAAUGCAGGUGGUGCUAGAAUCCCUCAAGGUUCAGCCACAAGAAAGGGGGCAACAUUCAUUGUGGCCUUGCAACAUUGCCAUUGCUCUACGUGCCGAUGUCAAAACAAGUUCAUUGGCUGCCCAUUGGAGCAAGCUAGAAACAGCUUGUCAUCAAGACGGGGAAAUUGAUGGGAGCUCAUCAUGGCUGCACACACAAUGUCACCGUUUCAGCACCAUGACUACUUCACCAUGUUUGACUACACCAACAACUUGGCUAUAGCAACCUCGACUAGCUCUACAACAACCUCUCACAUUCAGUUUGGGACAAUAGGCCCAAGCUAUGCACAUGUUCAUCACUUGGUGUUUGAAAUCGAGUGCCUCCCUGGCCUCCUCCAUUCAUGCCUAUUCGAGGACUUGAUGGUGUGGCUGAUUCUAAAGUACAAGCAAGAAUCACGCAAGAGCUUGAGUCGAGGACGACUGAAAUGCAAGAAGGGGAGAAUGAUGUCGAUAUCCCUACCCCUGAUACAACCACACCUAUGGGACAGUAAGGAAAACAAAGUCGCACAACUAGAGAUUGAGCUUACAUGCCUAAUUCUCAGGAACUUGAAACAUGAAUCGGAUUGGAGGAAGAGCAACCACGACAAUGGACAGCCAGUUUGAACAGCGAGCUCGGACUUUGCCAGUUCGGAUCGGUCAGUUUGGACCGUGCCAGUUCGGACCUCCAGGCAAGGGCAACUUCAGAAGGCCACAACUCUUCGCUCCAAAGGUUAUUUGAGUCCCAUGAGUACUGCUUGGAAAGGUCUUGAAGUCUACUUUCAGAUGAAUCUAACCUCAUGAUGAAAUUCCCCCGGAGCUAAGCGGAAUCGCCAAAAUGACGUUUGGACUUCCAGACAUGGGCUAAGUCAUUUAUAUCUCGUCCAACCCACUAGGGGCCCAUUUUAAGUUAGGGUUUCAACCCCAGCACCCUCCUGGCUGCCUUCCCAUCUAUAUAAACUAGUAGCAACCACCAGGAUAUAUUUGGAUUUUGUUUUGUUGAAAGUUUAGCCAUUUCUUCUUCCUUGUAAAUGCGUGUGUCGACCAGACCAUCCGAUUUUCUUGAUUCAAAACCCCA
Long non-coding RNA from Panicum hallii, 1661 nucleotides. RefSeq lists it as uncharacterized. Lineage: Eukaryota; Viridiplantae; Streptophyta; Magnoliopsida; Poales; Poaceae. The transcript has 3 exons. The record is from RefSeq and is a predicted model, not a curated record.